CAGCAGCCGCGGUAAUUCCAGCUCCAAUAGCGUAUAUUAAAGUUGUUGCAGUUAAAAAGCUCGUAGUUGAAUUUCGGGGUUAGUAGGUUGGUCAUGCCUCUGGUAUGUACUGGUCUCACUGAUUCCUCCUUCCUGAUGAACCUUAAUGCCAUUAAUUUGGUGUUUUGGGGAAUUUGGACUGUUACUUUGAAAAAAUUAGAGUGUUUAAAGCAAGCUAACGCUUGAAUACAUUAGCAUGGAAUAAUGAAAUAGGACGUUCGAUCCUAUUUUGUUGGUUUCUAGGAUUGACGUAAUGAUUAAUAGGGAUAGUUGGGGGCAUUAGUAUUCAAUUGUCAGAGGUGAAAUUCUUGGAUUUAUUGAAGACUAACUACUGCGAAAGCAUUUGCCAAGGAUGUUUUCAUUAAUCAAGAACGAAAGUUAGGGGAUCGAAGACGAUCAGAUACCGUCGUAGUCUUAACCAUAAACUAUGCCGACUAGGGAUCGGAUGAUGUUAAUUUUUUAAUGACUCAUUCGGCGCCUUACG
This 523-nucleotide ribosomal RNA is filed under the name uncultured Glomus. RNAcentral describes it as "SSU rRNA". It matches the Rfam family "Eukaryotic small subunit ribosomal RNA", at positions 568 to 1092 of the family's 1831-position model. Lineage: Eukaryota; Fungi; Glomeromycota; Glomeromycetes; Glomerales; Glomeraceae. The record is from RNAcentral.